CACCUUUUAUGGAAUGUUGAUAGUCCAUAUAUGGAAUUGAGAGCUCAUAUCUCUCAUUCCUCAAGUCACCCAGGAUCAAUUGUGCAUAUUCAAUCUCACAUGAGUGGCAAGCCAUGGAAAACUGUAAAAAACCUUAAUUCUAUUCAAACACUAUAAAAAUGGGAGUACCCUACCCAAAAUCUCUACACCAUAUUGCUUACACCUAAAAUCUCUCUCUUCUGUCUC
RNAcentral lists this long non-coding RNA (225 nucleotides) under Amborella trichopoda. Its description in RNAcentral is "long non-coding RNA (ATRI_LNC003219)". Lineage: Eukaryota; Viridiplantae; Streptophyta; Magnoliopsida; Amborellales; Amborellaceae. The record is from RNAcentral.